GGGGAAUAUUGGACAAUGGGGGAAACCCUGAUCCAGCAAUGCCGCGUGAAUGACGAAGGCCUUAGGGUUGUAAAGUUCUUUCACCUGUGAAGAUAAUGACGGUAGCAGGAGAAGAAGCCCCGGCUAACUCCGUGCCAGCAGCCGCGGUAAGACGGAGGGGGCUAGCGUUGUUCGGAAUGACUGGGCGUAAAGGGCGCGUAGGCGGUUUUUUAAGUGAGGCGUGAAAGCCCUGGGCUUAACCCAGGAGGUGCGUUUCAUACUGGAAGACUUGAGUACGAGAGAGGAAAGUGGAAUUUCUAGUGUAGAGGUGAAAUUCGUAGAUAUUAGAAAGAACACCAGUGGCGAAGGCGGCUUUCUGGCUCGUAACUGACGCUGAGGCGCGAAAGCGUGGGGAGCAAAC
RNAcentral lists this ribosomal RNA (400 nucleotides) under uncultured bacterium. RNAcentral describes it as "bacterial SSU rRNA". It matches the Rfam family "Bacterial small subunit ribosomal RNA", at positions 356 to 773 of the family's 1533-position model. The record is from RNAcentral.